GGGGCUGUAGCUCAGUGGUAGAGCGCUUGCUUAGCAUGUGUGAGGCACAGUUCCAUCCUCAGCACCA
RNAcentral lists this transfer RNA (67 nucleotides) under Marmota monax (woodchuck). It matches the Rfam family "tRNA". From Rfam's summary of the family: Transfer RNA (tRNA) molecules are approximately 80 nucleotides in length. Their secondary structure includes four short double-helical elements and three loops (D, anti-codon, and T loops). Further hydrogen bonds mediate the characteristic L-shaped molecular structure. tRNAs have two regions of fundamental functional importance: the anti-codon, which is responsible for specific mRNA codon recognition, and the 3' end, to which the tRNAs corresponding amino acid is attached (by aminoacyl-tRNA synthetases). tRNAs cope with the degeneracy of the genetic code in two manners: having more than one tRNA (with a specific anti-codon) for a particular amino acid; and 'wobble' base-pairing, i.e. permitting non-standard base-pairing at the 3rd anti-codon position. The record is from Rfam by way of RNAcentral. Lineage: Eukaryota; Metazoa; Chordata; Mammalia; Rodentia; Sciuridae.